Molecule: ribosomal RNA, 519 nt
Filed under: uncultured bacterium
Lineage: Bacteria
Description: partial 16S ribosomal RNA
Rfam family: Bacterial small subunit ribosomal RNA
Source: RNAcentral
GACGAACGCUGGCGGCGUGCCUAAUACAUGCAAGUCGAGCGAGCUUGCCUAGAUGAAUUUGGUGCUUGCACCAGAUGAAACUAGAUACAAGCGAGCGGCGGACGGGUGAGUAACACGUGGGUAACCUGCCCAAGAGACUGGGAUAACACCUGGAAACAGAUGCUAAUACCGGAUAACAACACUAGACGCAUGUCUAGAGUUUAAAAGAUGGUUCUGCUAUCACUCUUGGAUGGACCUGCGGUGCAUUAGCUAGUUGGUAAGGCAACGGCUUACCAAGGCAAUGAUGCAUAGCCGAGUUGAGAGACUGAUCGGCCACAUUGGGACUGAGACACGGCCCAAACUCCUACGGGAGGCAGCAGUAGGGAAUCUUCCACAAUGGAUGCAAGUCUGAUGGAGCAACGCCGCGUGAGUGAAGAAGGGUUUCGGCUCGUAAAGCUCUGUUGGUAGUGAAGAAAGAUAGAGGUAGUAACUGGCCUUUAUUUGACGGUAAUUACUUAGAAAGUCACGGCUAACUACGUG